Molecule: long non-coding RNA, 399 nt
Filed under: Vigna radiata
Lineage: Eukaryota; Viridiplantae; Streptophyta; Magnoliopsida; Fabales; Fabaceae
Description: long non-coding RNA (VRAD_LNC017334)
Source: RNAcentral
AAAGGCUUGGUGAAGUAGACAUCACUUGGAGAGGUGCAAAUGGAGAGCACAACCACAUCCACGUCAGCAUGGUAUUAUUCAAUUGGGAGGUGCAAUCGGAUGCUGGGAUUUCAUAUUGCCGCAAGCUGAUUCCAUUUAGAAAGAAAGGGUCUGCUAGAAUAUUAAAAGGUUGCGGUAAUUUCAGCUGGGAGAGAAAGACAACAAGCACAUACAACAUUGCUAUCCAGCAACACUACGACCCACAAUGCCAAUUGAAGCGGUGCAACGGGCUUCAACGCUGCAGCAACUCUUCAAGGCCACAUUCCAGCUGCAGCACUCACGAGCUGCACUCCACAUCUUCACACGACUUAAAGGAAGACCACCACGUCUAGCAAGCUGCUUAAGGAAAAUCAUGCUCCA